RNAcentral lists this transfer RNA (73 nucleotides) under Candidatus Lindowbacteria bacterium RIFCSPLOWO2_02_FULL_62_12. Its description in RNAcentral is "tRNA-Glu". It matches the Rfam family "tRNA". From Rfam's summary of the family: Transfer RNA (tRNA) molecules are approximately 80 nucleotides in length. Their secondary structure includes four short double-helical elements and three loops (D, anti-codon, and T loops). Further hydrogen bonds mediate the characteristic L-shaped molecular structure. tRNAs have two regions of fundamental functional importance: the anti-codon, which is responsible for specific mRNA codon recognition, and the 3' end, to which the tRNAs corresponding amino acid is attached (by aminoacyl-tRNA synthetases). tRNAs cope with the degeneracy of the genetic code in two manners: having more than one tRNA (with a specific anti-codon) for a particular amino acid; and 'wobble' base-pairing, i.e. permitting non-standard base-pairing at the 3rd anti-codon position. RNAcentral also lists the same sequence under 1 other name. Lineage: Bacteria; Candidatus Lindowiibacteriota. The record is from RNAcentral.
GGGGCGGUAGGCGAAUGGUAGAGCCGCCGGCCUUUCAAGCCGGAGUCUGUGGGUUCAAGUCCCAUCCGCCCUG